Long non-coding RNA from Xenia sp. Carnegie-2017, 2412 nucleotides. RefSeq lists it as uncharacterized. The transcript is spliced from 2 exons. Lineage: Eukaryota; Metazoa; Cnidaria; Anthozoa; Malacalcyonacea; Xeniidae. The record is from RefSeq and is a predicted model, not a curated record.
UAUCUAAACUCAAAUUGCCAAAAGAUAAAAAAUCGUUAUCAUUUAUAACAGUGGUAUCAUCUAAAAGAUUAGAAGCCACAUUUGCAAAGUGCAGAUUAAACGCUUCAGCAAUUUCUUUGUUAUGAUGGAAAAGAGAUCCAUUAAAUAACAAUUCCUUCACUUGAACGGGAUCAUUUGUAUCACCAGAAAGAGAUUUGAGUAUUUUCCAAAGCUUCUUAGGAUUUUUACGAUUUUCAAUAAGAGAUGACUUGAAAUAGACUUGUUUGGCUUUAAAUACUGAAUGAUUAUUUAUUUUAUUUCUAAUUUUUCUAAUUGACUCCCAGUCUUCUUGGGAACGAGAGGACUUCGCUUUUUUGAGAAGCAAAUCUCUUUUUCUCAUCAUUGAAGAUAUGUCAUCAGUAAGCCAUUUAAGCUUAUUCACCUUUUUAAUGCGCUUAGAAAUUAAUGGGGCAUGUUGAUCAAGUAUAUUAUUGAAGAGAGAGUACCACAUAAUUACAAAAUCCUCAAUAUCAUCGAAGAUAAAUGAUGUAUCCCAAGGAACAUUUAGCAAAGAACUCCGAGACUUUUCUUUAUCAAAGUUUUUCAUAUCGCGAUAAGCCAUAACAGUAUGCGUUUGCAUAAAUUUCCCACAAAAUUUUUUAUAACGACACAAGCAACAUACAGGUAAAUGAUCAGAAAGAAAGAUAUCAGCAGUCGAGCAAUGAGAUAAAAAUUCGGGUCUAUUUGACCAAAUAUGAUCGAGUACUUUACCACUGACUGGACGUGUAGCAUCGAUAAUAUGUUGUUGAAAAGAUAAGGAUAACAAACACGUAACCAAGCGAUGAUGCUUGGAAUAAGUGUCAAGAUAAUCGAUAUUAAAGUCCCCAAGGAUUAACGUUUCUUUACCUUGCAUGGAAGCAUUUUCGAUAUUCAUACCCAAUUGAACAUCGUAAUUUUGGUAGGAGUUAGGUGGGCGAUAAAUGCCACCUAUAAUGAGACUUCUCUUCGACUUAAAUGGGCACAAUUCCAUCCAUAAAACUUCCAACUCGAUUGUUUCCAAGUCAUAUCUUCUUUUAGCAAUUAAAUCACGAUUAACAUAUAUAGCAAUACCACCACCAUUCAAAGUUUUCGAAGUACUAUUCCGAUUCCUUAUAUAUAAGUCAAAGCCAGGUAUUAUAUUAAACAAUUCAGUAGAGAUUUGCGAAUUCCAAAACGUUUCAUUUAUAAUCAAAAUAUCCAGACGUUUCUCGUUAUAGUCAUGGCCAAGGAUUUCAAUUUGCACUUGUUCAAACUUUGUUUCAUUCAAACGGUUUAUAUUCCAUUGGCCUAUCCGAAGGCCACGACUUGGUAGACUAAAACAACUAUUUCCUUGCGGGAAGACACAAGAUUUUGUGCAGGAACCGGACCUGGAUUUAAAUGAAUGUCGCCAUUCAAUGCCAGUAAUAAAUAGCGAUGAAGCAAAGAUAAUAUUACAGACGCCAUUGCUUGUUUAGACAUCACCACAAUUGCACAGCCAAAUUGAAAGUUACUUGAUUUACUUGAUUUGUUCGGCGUAAGCAGCGACACUUUAUUCUUCAUAUUUAUAAAACAGGUUUGAAAAUGCGAUUUUGCCACAUAAAAAUAGUUUAAACAACGAUCACUACUGUUAUCCAGUAUUUGAUGAAUAAAAAUAUCUUUAAAAAUUAAACACCAAAUCAAAAUAAAUAAAACUGAGGUGUAACUACACGAAACACGUCUAGUCGCCAUAUUGGAGAUACAUUGUUUCUGCUAGGAUAUAUCUAUUGGACAAACAGUGAAAUGCUUAAAUUGCUCAGUGCAGAUUCCAAUGAAUUCAAUCCGGAAUCAUAUGAAAACUUGAGGCAGUUCAAUGAAGAAGAUAGAUUAAUAUCAUGAUGAACAUCGACAUUUAAAAGUUCUUUUGCGUUUGAGAUUAACUGCAGAACAGCCUCUUCAAGCUCGAACACUUCAGCAAAUCGCAACGUAGUAUGGUAAAGAGAAUCAAUACGAAAAACGCAAAAAUCCCGAUCUGGACUUCCUUCGAGGGUUGUAGACCAUUGAGUUCUAUAAAACCUGGAGGGGAAAUGUCAAAGUGCUGAAGAACAUUCAUCUGAUGAUAAGUAUUAAAUCUUUUCCAUUUGCCAAAAUCAUUUAACGCUUGGCUGAAUCCCGGCUACCCGGGAUCAUGUAAACAGCCCCUAAAUUUUCUCCUAUUGUAACUGAACACCUGUAUAUAUAUAUAUAUACAAACCGUACGUCCUGUGUCCCAAGUGCAGGAGUCACCAUUUUAAUAUGGUGAUAGCCGUGAUGGCACAUUGUAUAUACACUUUGUUUAUAUAAAAACUAUGUAUAUAUAUGUACAAUUAACUGGGAACUUGUAACUAUGUCAUUUUUUCUGAUGAUGUUUUUAAAUAAAACCAAAAUAUUGCAGCGUAA